Molecule: small RNA, 115 nt
Filed under: Rouxiella sp. S1S-2
Lineage: Bacteria; Pseudomonadati; Pseudomonadota; Gammaproteobacteria; Enterobacterales; Yersiniaceae
Description: RtT sRNA
Rfam family: RtT RNA
About the family: This family represents a bacterial cis-regulatory element known as RtT RNA. The exact function of RtT is unknown although it is thought that it may be involved in changing the cellular response in relation to amino acid starvation.
Source: RNAcentral
AAAUUCCGCUAGCCGCGUGGGUGAGAAGCUGCGUUCAGGUUCGAGCCGAGCGAAGCGAGACGACAACGCACUCGCGUUGCCCGAAGGGUGAGAAAAUAUUUCGUGCUCAGCCGCA